CCACUCAAUGGGUAUUAAUAAUCGUUAUAUUGGGAAGAUUGCAAUGCUAGCCAAGUCAAGGGAAGAUCUGUACCACUUACAUAGGAUCUGUGUUACUGAGAUGAUACUAAGAAGAGAUUCAGGAAGCUUUUAUUAACGACUCCAUUGAACCGUGUGUCAGCCAAUGUGGCUUAUUUUCUCAACUGUUUACUAACUGAUACUGAAGAGAUUGUUUCUGAUGAAGUUGCUGCUA
This is a long non-coding RNA of Amphimedon queenslandica, 232 nucleotides long. RefSeq lists it as uncharacterized. NCBI's taxonomy places the organism in Eukaryota, Metazoa, Porifera, Demospongiae, Haplosclerida, Niphatidae. The transcript is spliced from 4 exons. The record is from RefSeq and is a predicted model, not a curated record.